RNAcentral lists this ribosomal RNA (403 nucleotides) under uncultured bacterium. Its description in RNAcentral is "bacterial SSU rRNA". It matches the Rfam family "Bacterial small subunit ribosomal RNA", at positions 355 to 774 of the family's 1533-position model. The record is from RNAcentral.
UGGGGGAUAUUGCACAAUGGGGGAAACCCUGAUGCAGCGACGCCGCGUGUAGGAAGACGGUCCUUUGGAUUGUAAACUACUGUCUUCGGGGACGAUAAUGACGGUACCCGAGGAGGAAGCUCCGGCUAACUACGUGCCAGCAGCCGCGGUAAUACGUAGGGAGCAAGCGUUAUCCGGAAUUAUUGGGGGUAAAGGGUGCGUAGACGGGAAUACAAGUUAGUUGUGAAAGCCCUCGGCUCAACCGAGGAACUGCAGUUGAUACUGUCAGUCUUGAGUACAGUAGAGGUAAGCGGAAUUCGUGGUGUAGCGGUGAAAUGCUUAGAUAUCACGAAGAACUCCAAUGGCGUAGGCAGCUUGCUGGACUGUAACUGACGCUGAUGCUCGAAAGUGUGGGUAUCAAACA